Molecule: long non-coding RNA, 384 nt
Filed under: Mytilus galloprovincialis (Mediterranean mussel)
Lineage: Eukaryota; Metazoa; Mollusca; Bivalvia; Mytilida; Mytilidae
Source: RNAcentral
AGAAAAAUGAAAUAAAAAAAUGGGGUCACCGUUCAUUUAAGCUCACAAUCUGCCUCCGGAAGAAGCAUACAUUUUUGUUUAUGUCCUUUUUUUCUGUUGAACUAUAAGGAGAAAUAAAGGUAAUAUCGAAAUAAAAAAAUAACCUAAUUACAGAAAUCGCUUAAAUUUUACAAUUAUUUAGUUUAUGUACAGCUUAUUUGAAAUCAAUAAUAAAAAAUAUAGGUCACCGAUGAGUUAAAAAAGAUAUUUCAAGUUUAAUGUCAAAAAAAAAAUGGCAUUUUUGCACCAAAGGGAGAUAAUUUGGAGCUUUUUCAAUGACAUAAACAUUUUAAAAGUCAUCUGGAGCCAAUCCGAAUCAAUUUUUUGGGUUGAUUUUUGUACCAU